This 484-nucleotide ribosomal RNA is filed under the name uncultured bacterium. RNAcentral's name for it is "partial 16S ribosomal RNA". It matches the Rfam family "Bacterial small subunit ribosomal RNA", at positions 30 to 507 of the family's 1533-position model. The record is from RNAcentral.
AUUGAACGCUGGCGGCAUGCUUUACACAUGCAAGUCGAACGGUAACAGGGAGCUUACUCCGCUGACGAGUGGCGAACGGGUGAGUAAUAUAUCGGAACGUACCCAAGAGUGGGGGAUAACGUAGCGAAAGUUACGCUAAUACCGCAUACGAUCUAAGGAUGAAAGCAGGGGACCUUCGGGCCUUGUGCUCCUGGAGCGGCCGAUAUCUGAUUAGCUAGUUGGUGAGGUAAAGGCUCACCAAGGCGACGAUCAGUAGCUGGUCUGAGAGGACGACCAGCCACACUGGAACUGAGACACGGUCCAGACUCCUACGGGAGGCAGCAGUGGGGAAUUUUGGACAAUGGGCGCAAGCCUGAUCCAGCAAUGCCGCGUGAGUGAAGAAGGCCUUCGGGUUGUAAAGCUCUUUUGUCAGGGAAGAAACGGGAUUGGCUAAUAUCCAGUCCUAAUGACGGUACCUGAAGAAUAAGCACCGGCUAACUACGUG